RNAcentral lists this ribosomal RNA (403 nucleotides) under bacterium. Its description in RNAcentral is "partial 16S ribosomal RNA". It matches the Rfam family "Bacterial small subunit ribosomal RNA", at positions 355 to 776 of the family's 1533-position model. The record is from RNAcentral.
UGGGGAAUAUUGCACAAUGGGGGAAACCCUGAUGCAGCGACGCCGCGUGAACGAAGAAGGUAUUCGUAUCGUAAAGUUCUGUCUUAUGGGAAGAUAAUGACAGUACCAUAGAAGAAAGCUCCGGCUAAAUACGUGCCAGCAGCCGCGGUAAUACGUAUGGAGCGAGCGUUGUCCGGAAUUAUUGGGCGUAAAGGGUACGCAGGCGGUUUAAUAAGUCGAAUGUUAAGGAUCGGGGCUCAACCCCGCAAAGCAUUGGAAACUGAUAAACUUGAGUAGUGGAGAGGAAAGUGGAAUUCCUAGUGUAGUGGUGAAAUACGUAGAUAUUAGGAGGAAUACCAGUAGCGAAGGCGACUUUCUGGACACAAACUGACGCUGAGGUACGAAAGCGUGGGGAGCAAACAGG